UCUGGAAUUNGGAAGAGAUUUGGAAUUGCUAGCUAGAGAACCGGAACACCGGUGCUGCAUGCCGGUCGUCAGCUCGGGUCGUGAGAUGAUGGGUUAAGUCCCGCAACGAGCGCACCCCUUGUCCUUAGUUGUUANGAAAGGGCAUUUUAAUGAGCCGCCCGGUGCCAACCCGGAGGAAGGUGGGGAGGACGUCAAGUCUUCAUGGCCUUUAUGGGUAGGGCUUCACACGUCAUACAAUGGUCGGGACAGAGGGUCGCCAACCCGCGAGGGGGAGCCAAUNCCAGAAACCCGAUNGUANUCCGGAUCGCAUUCUGCANCUCGANUGCGUGAANUCGGAAUCGCUAGUAAUCGCGGAUCAGCAUGUCGCGGUGAAUACGUUCCCGGGUCUUGUACACACCGCCCGUCACACCAUGGGAGUGGGUUUCACCAGAAG
RNAcentral lists this ribosomal RNA (433 nucleotides) under Achromobacter xylosoxidans. RNAcentral's name for it is "bacterial SSU rRNA". It matches the Rfam family "Bacterial small subunit ribosomal RNA", at positions 989 to 1426 of the family's 1533-position model. RNAcentral also lists the same sequence under 1 other name. Lineage: Bacteria; Pseudomonadati; Pseudomonadota; Betaproteobacteria; Burkholderiales; Alcaligenaceae. The record is from RNAcentral.